CUGAUGCUGCCAGCUCUUCAAUAAUUCUUUAACACUCUGGGGCAUGAUCCAUGAGAUCCUACAGAUGUUGAAAAAGAGUUCCCAGCAUUGCCUAGUAUAUCUGCAGUGCAGAAGAAGGUGAUUCACAGUCUCCAUCUCUUCUCCACACAAGAAGCACCUAUUACUUAAUGCAAAACCCUCUUUUGAAGGUUGCUCUGGGUAAGACAGGCUUCCCUAGCUGCAAUCCAACCCAAGCAUGCUGCUUUUAUAGGAGCUUUAGCUUUCCAAAUCACUUUCCAAGGCCAGCUAGUAUUCGAGUGACCUGCUUGUUUCUAGGUAGGCUGUAACAAUUUCUAACAGUAAACUUCCUAUCUUUACUCUCUUUCCAUACUAAUGAAUACUAUUUGUUUUGAUCAAUGUGGGUAGAUUCCAAUUGAAGGAGCAACUGGCAGAAAUCUACUAUUUCCCAAUCAUUCAAACUCCUUCAAAAACUCACCUGCCAACUUGAAUUUGAAUAAAAUUCAGCCACAACCCCAUCUUUGUUAUUACAACAACUAAACAGAUCCGGGAAUUUUGAUUUCAAUCACUCAUCACCAGCACACAAAUCUGUCCAGAAACUAAUCUUACUUCCAUUGCCCACCUCCAAUCUAGUAAGCUGCUUAAACUCUUCACAAAAUUUGUAGAUUUCUUUCCAAACUCCCCCUCUGGCGUACAUACUUUUAAAGUGGAGGAUUCCAGCCUUGUUUGUUCCCAUGAAUAGCUUCAAUUAUUUUAACCCAGGUUGUUUCUGCUUCCCUGCUAAAUCUACAGAGCCACUUAAGAAGGCAUACUUUUAUUCUCUAGUCUCAAAAUUAUAACCCCCAAACCACCUCCUUUCUUUCGUCGCUUCGGUGAAUCACUUGAGCCCUGAUACAUUUUCGGUGCCAUGGAGCUAGACCAGUGAGCUAUUACGCUUUCUUCAAAGGAUGGUUGCUUCCAAGCCCACCUCCUGGUUGUCAUCGCUCGAUCACUUCCUUUUCCACUAAGUGAUUGCUUAGGGACCUUAGCGUACGAUCUGGGCUGUUUCCCUCUCGACUUUGGAUCUUAGCACCCAAAAAGUGACCAGAAAAUUUAGAUCUAGACUUAACCAAUUAGAUUUUCUAAUAAAAUGGAGUUAAUCUUAGCCAAUAUUAAUAUCCAAAAGAUGUGUUAACCGAUUUUGUAGCGAGAUAUCACGGAUAUUACUUGAGUAGUAAUUUAAUGACUACAAUAAUGCAAUAUUCAAUCAUCCAAAAAUAAAGGAGGUAGCAUUAAAUAACAAUAAAUAGCAAUGAAUGGCAUUUAUGUAAAUAAAGCAUGUGAGUCACGAAAAAGUUGAGAUUCUUUGAUAUUCUUCCUGACAACGAUAAAUGAUUGAUAAGCCUUUGAAUAUUCGAAUUCUUCUUGGAUCGUGGGAGAAAAAGUUAGAUAAAGAUCUGAAGAAAAUGUGUAUUUUGUAUGAUAGAGCAAGAAUCUUCAAAGAAUGUCAAUGUGUUAUUUUUACAAUGAGUGUCCUAUCCCCUUCUAUAGCUACAUAUCUUUCUAUUUAUAAGGCACAUGGACCACAAAAACCCUAAUAUUACAGAUUGGAGGAAUAUCCACUAGAAUAUUUUGUUUAAAGUCUUAUUUCUAAAACUAGCCGUUACUACUCUGAUAAAGGGAGUACUCGUCCUCGUGCUCGACCUCCGUUGGGUCCUCGAGCUCGCCUUCAUCCUUCGUUGACAUCAGAUUGAUGACACGUGGCAGCCUUCGAAGGCUUCCUUAAUAUUGAUUAAGCUCACAUAUAGUUAUGAUAAUUUUUAGCCUAUACAGUUAGUCCUUCCGCUUGUUGAGGUCAUCUUCGUGGACGAGUUCAAUGAGCGGAUAACAGCGGCCAUGAUCGCUGUGAUAAACAGGCGACAUGGCUCUUUGUAGACUGAAUAUUUCAAAACCUUAAAUUUCCCCGCUGGAACCAUCUAGUCCAAGAAACGAAGUGACAUCAAGACGUCAUGAUGAUGGCGAAUCCUGACGCAUUGCGUGGAUUCACGCGUGACCUUUGAUUGGUUCUGUCGUUCCGAUUCUAGUGCCAAUUAUGAUGAACUGUUUCGGGUUUGGUGCCUUAAUCUCUAUAAAUAGAGAUUGCUUCCUCAUUGUUCAAACUUUACUUCCUUUCAUACCAUCCUUGCUCUACGUAAAUUCCAUUAUUUAUCUUGAGUCUUCCUUGCCUCCUAAACCUUAACUUUCUUUCAUACUCUCAUCUUCUUAUAAAUCGCAUAACCAUGUCUAACUUUUCUUCUAAUGUUGAUGAAGAAAGCCAUGCCAUUACUUUGGCUGUUGUAUUCCCCGUUCAUGGGGGGCAACCGUCGCCGCCGCAAAAGACGAAGCUCUUCCUUCAGUGGAGGGGAUCAAUCUCCGCGACCCUAAUGCUAGGUCCAAUUUUCAACGGUCGCCGGAGGUGAUGACCGGAAAGUUUCAAGUGUCAAUGACAUCCGGGCACUUGGCUGAAUUCAAAGCUAAGUUUGGCCUUCCCAACCAUGUGGAAUUAACCCAUGUUGGCGAGGACAAAGUGCACGUUCAACAUCUUGGGUAUUGCGCUCUUUAUGCCUACCCAUUCACCAUCGGCUACUCGUUCCCCCUUCUCUCGCUGGUGGAGGAGUUCUGCCGCCACUAUAGCGUUUUCCCGGCUCAGCUCGCCCCUUUUUAGAAGGUGAUCAAGAUGCUAUCAAAGUUUGCUGAACUUGCCAGGGUCGAGGUCACGAUGCGACAUUUGGUGCAUCUGUUCGCGCCUAGCUUCUACAGAGGGACGAUGUUGAACUUUCGACAUCAUGGGGAAAAUGCUUGGUGGUGAAGAUGGACGAUAAGAGUAGUCGGCAGUUCUGGCUCGACUACUUCUAUGUCAAGUCUGAGGUCAUUGCGGCUGAUGUCGAUGGUUUCCCCGAGGCCUAGAACCAUACACGUAAGUGUUCGUGUUUUUUGCUUUCAUCCUUUUAGGUACUUUGUUCAUUUCAAAUUAGUCGAGUAACUCUUCUUUUCCUAUAGCCACUAGUCGUCCUCCUCCUUUGGCGACACACCUCGCUGACUGGGUCAGGCAGGUUCUCCCUUAUACCGUGGGGAUUCGCGAUUGGCCGAGCUUCUUUUUAAAGUACAAACUGGCCCUCCCUUUGACAUGUAAUCUCCUUAUUCUGGUCGCUAUCAUAUUGUGUAUUGGCUUGUGCAGUUGUAAAAUUUUACGCUUCGUUCUUUUUUAGGCUCAGUCAGGGGGACUACUAGAAGAAACAGGGCGCUCGUGCCCAUGUUUAGGAGGAUAAAAACUGUUGUGCCUUCCGUCUCCGCCCCCGUCUCAGCUACUGGUCUGACUCCUCCCUCGUUUUCACUCAUCGACGAAGACGACGAAGUCUCUCCUCGUGACGGGGACCUAAGUCCCCGCAAAAGGAAGGUUGUGGACGUAGGGGGAGUUCCUCGGCCGUCGACUCAGUAGAAGAUGAAUUCUCGCUUCGGGAGACGGCGACGAUCUACAUCGGAUAUGAUGUUGGGGCGACCUCCGAGGCCCCACAAUUAGAAGAGGCUAAUGAGGGUGUUCCCUCGCGUCCCGAGGAAGAGAAGGUUGUGGAGAGGACGUCUGGUGACAGCUCCGUGCCUGCAGGGCAAGAGAAGGCAUUGUAAAAAAUAACACAUACUCUGAAGAUUCUUGCUCUGUCAUAUAAAAUACACCUUUUCUUCAGACCACAAUCCAAGGAAAAUCUGAAUAUUCAAAGGCUUAUCAAUUAUUUAUCGUUGUCAAGAAGAAUAUCAAAGAACCUCACCCUUUUCGGGUGACUCACAUGCUUUAUUUACAUAAAUGUCAUUCAUUGCUAUUUAUUGUUAUUUAAUGCUACCUUCUUUAUUUUUGGAUCAUUGAAUAUAGCAUUAUUGUCGUUAUUUAUUACUACUCAAACAAUAUUCGUGAUAUCUCGCUACAAAAUCGGUUAACAUAUCUUUUGGAUAUUAAUAUUGACUAAGAUUAACUCCAUUUUAUUAGAAAAUCUAAUUGUUUAAACCUAGAUCUAAUUUUUUGGUCAAACAACAGUUAUAGCGAAUAAGGACAUUAGAUAAGAGGGCAUACCAUCUAAAACACUAUUAAUCAAAAUGAGUUUGCCUCCAAAUGAUAAAUAUUGCUUCUUCCGGGGAACUAAUAUGUUGGCACAUCUAUCCAAAACCCCUUGCCAAAUACUUUGAUCGUUUCUUCUAACUCCUAGUGGAAAUCCAAGAUAGACUAUGGGAAAGCUGUCCACCCAGCAUCCUAAAAUAUCUUUUUUGAUGAAGGCCAGCAUCCUAAAAUAUCAGCCAAUUAGCCAAUACAAUCAUCAGCAUUAAUACCAUAAGUAGCAUUAAUACAAUAAGUACUGUUCUUUCCCAAAUUCACUUUCAAUCUAGAAGUUGCUUCAAAGGUCAGUUAAAUUCCUCUAAGGUAUAGAAAUUGCUCCUUCUCUGCCUCACAGAACAAGAGGGAAUCAUCAGCAUAUAGAAUGUGAGAUAGCACCACACUGUCACUACUCUUUCUUCCAAUCCUCAGCCCCUUGAUCCAACCCAGGUCUUCAGCCCUCUUCAAUACAUGGCUCAGCAUCCCCAUUACUAAAACAAAUAAAUAAGGUGACACGGGGUCUCCUUGUCUCAAUCAUCUUGAAGACUUGAAAUAUCCAUGAGGGGCUUCCAUUGAUUAAAAUUGAGAAUCUGACUGU
This 4694-nucleotide long non-coding RNA is filed under the name Nicotiana tabacum (common tobacco). RNAcentral's name for it is "long non-coding RNA (NTAB_LNC018505)". The record is from RNAcentral. Lineage: Eukaryota; Viridiplantae; Streptophyta; Magnoliopsida; Solanales; Solanaceae.